GCCAACACUCUGUCCACUGAGCCAAACCAGCUAGGGCUCUUGCAGUUAUUUUUCAAACAAAGAAACUUAGGGAAGAACUUUGGGCCAGAUUUCCCCCCCCCAUUUUGUAUACUACUUUGAUGGUUUAAUUAAAAUGAAUCACUUACGAGAUAAGUGUUUUCUUUAAAAUUGAGUCAGCAGCAAGUGUCCUUGAACUAGUGGGUAAAAGAAGCACAAAACAAACCCGUAGGUUUGCAGAGUUACCCUUGAAGGGAAGAGAGCCACUUGCAGGAGAGAGCAGAACAUGUAAUGUGCAGCUCUUGUGCAAGCGACUGGGGCUGUGGAGGUCCGAGGCCACUGGGGAUGGUCAGGGUUGGCUCAUGCACACUUGUAGCCUCUCACUCCCAGAUCAGUCACUGGGGAUGGACCUCCUGGGACAGGCAGGAAGGGCCUCUUGAGCCCCACUCAGUCAGGCUCAACCUGUGGUUGGCCAGCAGAAGUGCCUCUUUUUCCUUCACUUAUUUUUACCAGAAACUGAGCUUCAGAACCUGCCCUGUGGAAAAACAGGUUUUCAGCAGCAUUCUCACCUUGAAUGUGUAUGUCCACCCUCUCAUCUGUCAGGAAUAUCUCUGCCCGUUGACAGUGUCUGCAAGCCACAGAGGCGAUGGUAUGAAAAAGACCAGGCCAGGCCAUAGCUGCUCUGGGAGCCCCCUAGAGAGUUGUGGAAUGGUGGGUAUGCUUUGGGCUGAUCUGUCUGUGUGAUAGUCACUGUAAUGAUGGCUUAUUCCAAAGGAGUAUCACUUUUGAAACUCCCAUGACCCCUUCAGGAACAUCUGUACCACUAAUUCUCCAACUGUGGUCCCCAGACCAGCAGCACCUGGGAAUUUUAUUAGACAUGCAAGUUCUCGGGCCUUAUCCGAAACCCCGGAAUCCAAAACCCUGACGGUGGCGCUCUGCCAUCUGUGUUUAUAAGCUCUCCGGGUGCUCCUGAGGGACAUACAAGGUUGAGAACCACUGACCUAUAGUCCCCAAAGUAGGGCAGACAAGACACUUCUAAAUGGGCAGAAUUGGGAUUAGUGUACUGGAGAUGACUCUAGCAAGCAAACAGAAAUGGCAGAUGGGUGGUGCAGUACAGCUUAGUGGUUCUGGGUAUGUCUUGAGAAUUCCACCUGCGUCUGCCUCCUUGCUUUCCCCUUACUGUUCUCUACACGGAUCUCCUUGUCUGUACAGUAAGACAGUCUGAAUUCUGUUCUAGUUACUAUUGUUGCUUAUCAAACCGCCCCCAAGAGUUUUAGGACUCUCACCGCUCUGUGGGUCAGGACUUUGGACAGGGCCCCAUGGGCAUGGCUUGCUUCUGCUCCCCAUUGACCUGUGUCUGAGGCUGUCAUCACAAGUCUGGGGCCUUGACUGGGAGGACUCAGGCUGGCUCAGCUGGAACUGUGUCCUAAACCACUUACACAGGGCCCAGGGGACAUCGACCAGAGGUCACAGACACUACAGCAGAAGCUGCUAGGUUUCUUCUGACCCGAAGUGGAUGGCCUGGGGACACCCAGGGCUGUUGUUAGCAUUAAAUGAGAAAACACUUA
Molecule: long non-coding RNA, 1565 nt
Organism: Myotis brandtii (Brandt's bat)
Lineage: Eukaryota; Metazoa; Chordata; Mammalia; Chiroptera; Vespertilionidae
Exons: 2
Source: RefSeq, a predicted model, not a curated record